This is an unclassified non-coding RNA of Cavia porcellus (domestic guinea pig), 297 nucleotides long. Its record names the gene 7SK. It matches the Rfam family "7SK RNA". Rfam says of the family: 7SK was discovered as an abundant small nuclear RNA in the mid-70s but a possible function has only recently been suggested. The record is from Ensembl. NCBI's taxonomy places the organism in Eukaryota, Metazoa, Chordata, Mammalia, Rodentia, Caviidae.
GGUUGUGAGGGCAAUCUGGCUCUCACAGCUGCUACCACAUUGAUCACCAGGGUUGAUUCAGCUGAUCUGGCUGCCUAGGCAGGUGUCCUUGUUCUCCCUCUGCAAUCAUUUGCAUUCUUCCCAAAUCUGUGCCCCAGGUCAAAGAGGACAACCACUCCCAAUAGUGUAGAACCAUUUUUUGGGUCAAAGUUAUAUGAGUAGAUGUGCUUCCCUGCUAAAACACCCAGACAAGCUCUCAAAUAAAAUAUCUAGAAGUCUCCUUAAAUUGCAAGUUAAUUUCAACUGAGGAGUUUUGUU